This is a long non-coding RNA of Dermatophagoides pteronyssinus (European house dust mite), 219 nucleotides long. NCBI's taxonomy places the organism in Eukaryota, Metazoa, Arthropoda, Arachnida, Sarcoptiformes, Pyroglyphidae. The record is from RefSeq and is a predicted model, not a curated record.
AUGGCACAUGUUUGCACAUUCGAGCACACUGUCUUUCCGUUAACGGCCAGGUCAUUUGAGUUCUCGUCAUCGUUUAGAUUUUAAACCAGAUUAAUGUUCAAAAUCCCUUACUCUGACUUGAUGAACGAUAAUUGAUUACUUAAAUGGUCAUUUAUAACGUUUUAUUAAAAUUUUCUAUAAAAAAUUGUUUUAAUGAAUUGUAUGAUUAUUAUUAUUACA